This is a long non-coding RNA of Dioscorea cayenensis subsp. rotundata (Guinea yam), 271 nucleotides long. RefSeq lists it as uncharacterized. The transcript has 3 exons. The record is from RefSeq and is a predicted model, not a curated record. Lineage: Eukaryota; Viridiplantae; Streptophyta; Magnoliopsida; Dioscoreales; Dioscoreaceae.
UUGGAAACCCUAACCAUUUGCUUCUCCUCUUCUUACUUUUGAUGGUUAAAGGUAGAUUAAUAGGAGUAGAGAGGAUGAGAAGAGAAGAUGGCAAGGUACUCGACUUUUAGGUUGUGCUUAAGACCUUGUUGAUCAGCCAGUGCUAGGAUGGAUCCAUUAGGGUUGUCGUUUUCUUGUAAAAAUUUUAUAACUUGUAUUUAUACCUUGGAUUCUCGUAUUUGAGUCUGUGUUGUAUUUCUGUACCAUUUUUUUUUAUUGUUUCAUGUUCUGC